CCGGGCGUAGCGCAGAGGCAGGCGCGCUCGCCUUGCCCAGGCGAAGAACAUCGGUUCGAAUCCGAUCCCCGGGC
Molecule: transfer RNA, 74 nt
Filed under: Streptomyces sp. VMFN-G11Ma
Lineage: Bacteria; Bacillati; Actinomycetota; Actinomycetes; Kitasatosporales; Streptomycetaceae
Description: tRNA-Gly
Rfam family: tRNA
About the family: Transfer RNA (tRNA) molecules are approximately 80 nucleotides in length. Their secondary structure includes four short double-helical elements and three loops (D, anti-codon, and T loops).
Source: RNAcentral